Molecule: ribosomal RNA, 888 nt
Filed under: uncultured spirochete
Lineage: Bacteria; Pseudomonadati; Spirochaetota; Spirochaetia; Spirochaetales
Description: bacterial SSU rRNA
Rfam family: Bacterial small subunit ribosomal RNA
Source: RNAcentral
GACGAACGCUGACGGCGUGGAUUAGGCAUGCAAGUUGAACGAGAAACUCCGACUUCGGUCGGAGGAGUAAAGUGGCGAAUGGGUGAGUAACGCGUAGGUAUCUACCUAAUAGACUGGGAUAGCCCUGAGAAAUUGGGGGUAAUACCGGAGUGUUCCCGAUUUAUCGGGAAUAAAGGUGGCCUCUAUUUAUAAGCUACCGCUAUAAGAUGAGCCUGCGUCAUAUUAGCUUGUUGGUGGGGUAAUGGCUCACCAAGGCGAUGAUGUGUAGCCGACCUUAACGGGUGACCGGCCACACUGGGAUUGAGAUACGGCCCAGACUCCUACGGGAGGCAGCAGUCGAGAAUAGUCUACAAUGGGGGAAACCCUGAUAGUGCGACGCCGUGUAUAUGAAGAAGUCCUUCGGGAUGUAAAAUAUUUUUCUAUGAGAAAAAAGCUCAGUAGGUGAAUAGCUUACUAAGUAUGAUGUUAUCAUAGGAAUAAGCUCCGGCUAACUCCGUGCCAGCAGCCGCGGUAAUACGGAGGGAGCGAGCGUUGUCCGGAAUUACUAGGCGUAAAGGGCUAGUAGGUGGCUAAUUAAGUUAUAUGUUAAAUCCUACGGCUUAACCGUAGUCCAGCAUAUAAUACUGGUUAGAUAGAGCACUGUAGAGGAAGGCGGAAUUCCUGGAGUAGCGGUGGAAUGCGCAGAUAUCAGGAAGAACACCAAAAGCGAAGGCAGCCUUCUGGGCAGUAACUGACGCUGAAUAGCGAAGGUGUGGGUAGCAAACAGGCUUAGAUACCCUGGUAGUCCACACAGUAAACGAUGAUCACUAGGUGUUGGUGCCGAUAAAACGGCUUCAGUACCGUAGCUAACGCAUUAAGUGAUCCGCCUGGGGAGACGACCGCAAGGUU